This 584-nucleotide ribosomal RNA is filed under the name proteobacterium StTD349. RNAcentral's name for it is "bacterial SSU rRNA". It matches the Rfam family "Bacterial small subunit ribosomal RNA", at positions 102 to 682 of the family's 1533-position model. Lineage: Bacteria; Pseudomonadati; Pseudomonadota. The record is from RNAcentral.
ACGGGUGAGUAAUGCAUCGGAACGUGCCCAGUAGCGGGGGAUAACGCAGCGAAAGCUGUGCUAAUACCGCAUAUUCUCUACGGAGGAAAGAGGGGGAUCGCAAGACCUCUCACUAUUGGAGCGGCCGAUGUCUGAUUAGCUAGUUGGCGGGGUAAAAGCCCACCAAGGCGACGAUCAGUAGCUGGUUUGAGAGAACGACCAGCCACACUGGGACUGAGACACGGCCCAGACUCCUACGGGAGGCAGCAGUGGGGAAUUUUGGACAAUGGGGGCAACCCUGAUCCAGCCAUGCCGCGUGUGGGAAGAAGGCCUUCGGGUUGUAAACCACUUUUGUCAGGGAAGAAAUGGACUUUUCUAAUACAAGAGUUCGAUGACGGUACCUGAAGAAUAAGCACCGGCUAACUACGUGCCAGCAGCCGCGGUAAUACGUAGGGUGCGAGCGUUAAUCGGAAUUACUGGGCGUAAAGCGUGCGCAGGCGGUUCUGCAAGUCAGAUGUGAAAGCCCCGGGCUCAACCUGGGAAUUGCAUUUGAAACUACAGGGCUAGAGUGUGUCAGAGGGGGGUAGAAUUCCACGUGUAGCAGU